This 253-nucleotide ribosomal RNA is filed under the name uncultured bacterium. RNAcentral's name for it is "partial 16S ribosomal RNA". It matches the Rfam family "Bacterial small subunit ribosomal RNA", at positions 524 to 776 of the family's 1533-position model. The record is from RNAcentral.
UACAGAGGUCCCAAGCGUUGUUCGGAUUCAUUGGGCGUAAAGGGUGCGUAGGUGGCGCCGUAAGUCGGGUGUGAAAUUUCGGAGCUUAACUCCGAAACUGCAUUCGAUACUGCGGUGCUUGAGGACUGGAGAGGAGACUGGAAUUCAUGGUGUAGCAGUGAAAUGCGUAGAGAUCAUGAGGAAGACCAGUGGCGAAGGCGGGUCUCUGGAGAGUUCCUGACGCUGAGGCACGAAGGCCAGGGGAGCAAACGGG